RNAcentral lists this ribosomal RNA (1247 nucleotides) under Trichoderma harzianum. RNAcentral describes it as "LSU rRNA". It matches the Rfam family "Eukaryotic large subunit ribosomal RNA", at positions 78 to 1356 of the family's 3401-position model. Lineage: Eukaryota; Fungi; Ascomycota; Sordariomycetes; Hypocreales; Hypocreaceae. The record is from RNAcentral.
CCCCAGUAACGGCGAGUGAAGCGGCAACAGCUCAAAUUUGAAAUCUGGUCCCUAGGGCCCGAGUUGUAAUUUGUAGAGGAUGCUUUUGGUGAGGUGCCGCCCGAGUUCCCUGGAACGGGACGCCACAGAGGGUGAGAGCCCCGUCUGGCUGGCCGCCGAGCCUCUGUAAAGCUCCUUCGACGAGUCGAGUAGUUUGGGAAUGCUGCUCAAAAUGGGAGGUAUAUGUCUUCUAAAGCUAAAUAUUGGCCAGAGACCGAUAGCGCACAAGUAGAGUGAUCGAAAGAUGAAAAGCACCUUGAAAAGAGGGUUAAAUAGUACGUGAAAUUGUUGAAAGGGAAGCGCUUGUGACCAGACUUGGGCGCGGCGGAUCAUCCGGGGUUCUCUCCGGUGCACUUCGCCGCGUCUAGGCCAGCAUCAGUUCGUCGCGGGGGAAAAAGGCUUCGGGAACGUGGCUCCUCCGGGAGUGUUAUAGCCCGUUGCAUAAUACCCUGCGGUGGACUGAGGACCGCGCAUCUGCAAGGAUGCUGGCGUAAUGGUCACCAGCGACCCGUCUUGAAACACGGACCAAGGAGUCGUCUUCGUAUGCGAGUGUUCGGGUGUCAAACCCCUACGCGUAAUGAAAGUGAACGCAGGUGAGAGCUUCGGCGCAUCAUCGACCGAUCCUGAUGUUCUCGGAUGGAUUUGAGUAAGAGCAUACGGGGCCGGACCCGAAAGAAGGUGAACUAUGCCUGUAUAGGGUGAAGCCAGAGGAAACUCUGGUGGAGGCUCGCAGCGGUUCUGACGUGCAAAUCGAUCGUCAAAUAUGGGCAUGGGGGCGAAAGACUAAUCGAACCUUCUAGUAGCUGGUUUCCGCCGAAGUUUCCCUCAGGAUAGCAGUGUUGAGCUCAGUUUUAUGAGGUAAAGCGAAUGAUUAGGGACCCGGGGGCGCUAUAUUGCCUUCAUCCAUUCUCAAACUUUAAAUAUGUAAGAAGCCCUUGUUACUUAGUUGAACGUGGGCAUUCGAAUGUAUCAACACUAGUGGGCCAUUUUUGGUAAGCAGAACUGGCGAUGCGGGAUGAACCGAACGCGAGGUUAAGGUGCCAGAGUAGACGCUCAUCAGACACCACAAAAGGCGUUAGUACAUCUUGACAGCAGGACGGUGGCCAUGGAAGUCGGAAUCCGCUAAGGACUGUGUAACAACUCACCUGCCGAAUGUACUAGCCCUGAAAAUGGAUGGCGCUCAAGCGUCUCACCCAUACCUCGCCCUC